GUGCUCACUUCAGCAGCACAUAUACUAAAGUUGGAAUGAUACAGAGAUUAGCAUGGCUGCUGAGCAUGGAUGGCAUGCAAAUUCGUAAAGUGUUCCAUAUUUUU
This 104-nucleotide small nuclear RNA is filed under the name Neotoma lepida (desert woodrat). Lineage: Eukaryota; Metazoa; Chordata; Mammalia; Rodentia; Cricetidae. The record is from RNAcentral.